RNAcentral lists this ribosomal RNA (506 nucleotides) under uncultured bacterium. RNAcentral's name for it is "partial 16S ribosomal RNA". It matches the Rfam family "Bacterial small subunit ribosomal RNA", at positions 29 to 523 of the family's 1533-position model. The record is from RNAcentral.
AGUGAACGCUGGCGGUAGGCCUAACACAUGCAAGUCGAACGGCAGCACAGGAGAGCUUGCUCUCUGGGUGGCGAGUGGCGGACGGGUGAGGAAUACAUCGGAAUCUACUCUGUCGUGGGGGAUAACGGAGGGAAACUUACGCUAAUACCGCAUACGACCUACGGGUGAAAGCAGGGGACCUUCGGGCCUUGCGCGAUUGAAUGAGCCGAUGUCGGAUUAGGUAGUUGGCGGGGUAAAGGCCCACCAAGGCGACGAUCCGUAGCUGGUCUGAGAGCAUGCUCAGCCACACUGGAACUGAGGCACGGUCCAGACUCGUACGGGAGGCAGCAGUGGGGAAUAUUGGACAAUGGGCGCAAGCCUGAUCCAGCCAUACCGCGUGGGUGAAGAAGGGCUUCGGGUUGUAAAGCCCUUUUGUUGGGAAAGAAAUCCAGCUGGCUAAUACCCGGUUGGGAUGACGGUACCCAAAGAAUAAGCACCGGCUAACUUCGUGCCAGCAGCCGCCGUAA